CCUACGGGAGGCUGCAGUGGGGAAUAUUGGGCAAUGGAGGCAACUCUUACCCAGCAAUGCCGCGUGAAUGAAGAAGGUCUUCGGAGUGUAAAGGUCUGUAAGUGGGGACGAAAAAAAUGACGGUACCCAAGGAAUAAGCCUCGGCUAACUACGUGCCAGCAGCCGCGGUAAUACGUAGGGGGCAAGCGUUGUGCGGAAUGACUGGGCGUAAAGGGUGUUUAGGCGGUGUAGCAAGUUCGAAGUGAAAUACCUAGAGCUUAACUCCGGUGCUGCUUCUAAAACUGCUAUACUUGAGGGCAGUAGAGGAAAGUGGAAUUCCUAGUGUAGCGGUGAAAUGCGUAGAUAUUAG
RNAcentral lists this ribosomal RNA (349 nucleotides) under uncultured bacterium. RNAcentral's name for it is "partial 16S ribosomal RNA". It matches the Rfam family "Bacterial small subunit ribosomal RNA", at positions 338 to 700 of the family's 1533-position model. The record is from RNAcentral.